RNAcentral lists this long non-coding RNA (2116 nucleotides) under Ananas comosus (pineapple). RNAcentral's name for it is "long non-coding RNA (ACOM_LNC023584)". Lineage: Eukaryota; Viridiplantae; Streptophyta; Magnoliopsida; Poales; Bromeliaceae. The record is from RNAcentral.
AACCCCUUAGUGCUUAUAAGUUUAUAACCCUUGGAUCUACUCCUUGAUUACUAAUAGUCUUUAGAUCAAAUACUAUUCCACCUACCACGACCUACCACUAUCAUCUCAACCUCACAUCUCUCCAACCAAUGGCUAAAAAGUCAAAAGCACUACCUUCAUGGUACUUUUGAGAGUACUUUAGCUCAACUCUAUAUAUAUAUAUAAAAUUGAGUUCCUAUGUUUUUAAAAGUACCAAAUUAUUGAUGCUUAUAGAUUUUUAACCAUUAGAUUAAAGGAUGUGCGGUUAGAAUGAUGUGGGCCCCUAGGGUUGAGUGGAUGGUUGGUCGAAUAUUAUAAUCUAAUGGGUGAAAAUGAUAAAAAACGUAGAUCAAACGGUAAAAAAUUUACAAGCACCAAAUGCUUGGUGCUUUUACAAAUAUGACUUGAUAGGACAGAGGUCUCUAUUAUAUAUAUAUAUAUAUAUAUAUAUAUAUAUAUAUAUAUAUAUAUAUAUAUAUAUAUAUAUUUCUACAGAGUCCGGCUGCAAUACUAUCGAUAGCACCAAGCGUUUGAUGCUAUCAAGUUUUUCGCCGUUAGAUUUAACCUUUUGACUAUUUUACCCGUUAGAUUAUACUAUCAAACCAAUAACUCACUCAACCCUAGGGGACCCAUAUCAUUCUAACCGUACAUUGUUUUAAUCCAAAUGCUGAAAACCUAAUAGCACCAAUAGCUUGGUGCUAUUGAUAGUAUUCCAGUCUAGUUCUAUAUAUAGAGUCCGGCUACGAUACUAUCGCUAGCACCAAGCGUUUGAUGCUAUCAAUAGAAUUAAGCUAAAAUACUUUUAAAAGUAUCACCCCCUUGGUGCUUCUAGGUUUCUAGCCCUUGAAUCUACUCCUUGAUUACUAAUAAUCAUUGGAUUAAACACUAUUUCACCUACCACCGCCUACCACCACCUACUACCAAUAUCCUAACCUUACAUUUCUCCAUCCAAGGGUUGAAAACUCAAAAGCACCAACCUCUUGGUGCUCUUGGUGCUUUUGAGAGUAUUCUAGCUGAACUAUAUAUAUAUAUAUAUAUAUAUAUAUAUAGUACGUCUUUCGUACUUUCGAAAGUAUAUAUGGAAACCUCCGUGCUUAUAAGUUGUUUUCGAUGAUAUGAUAUCCGAUUCGACGAUCAGCUCCGUUAAGUAUAAUCUACCUUAUUGGAACUAUCUAGAAACCAAAUUUUAUAAUUUGUUGACAUCAUUUACCAAGCGAUCAAAAAGUCUCAAAAAUGACUAUUUUAAUGGCCGAUAUGGUACGUUUUUAAGUUCAACGGUGUAUAAGUAUCCAAAUUACAUAAAAUAUUCUACUUAAUAUUAAUAGCAAGAUUAAUACUUUCAAUUUGAAUUUUGAGUCAUUUAUCACUAUUUUUUAUGAGAUUUUUAUUUUCAGCUGUUCAUUUUAAGGCUACUCGUUUACUAGACAAACGAAAUCAAAAAAUUAUGAAAUUUGGUGUCUAGAUAGUUACAAUAGCGUAGAUCAUGUUUAACGGAACCGAUCGCCGAAUCGGAUGUCCCAUCAUCGAAAAUAACUUACAAGCACGAAGGCCUCCGUACUUUCAAAAGCAUAGGAGCUAUAUAGUAGGUUUUGUGUGUUAUUAGGAGUAUGAAGGCCUCUGUGCUCCUAAACUGUUUUCAAUGAUGAAGUUUUCAAAUCGACAAUCGACUCUGUUAGACUUGAUCUAGCGUAUUUAAAGUAUCUAGAAAAUAAAUUUUGCGAUUUUUCGAUAUCAUUUAUACUAGCGAUCGAAAAGGUUCAAAAUCAAUAAUUUUUAAUGGUUGAUAUAUAUCGUUCACAAGUUUAAUGGUGCAGAAGUAUUCAAAUCACAUGAAGUUUUGAUAAAAAAAAUUUUGUACUAUUUAUUGCAACAUCAAUAUUUCUGAUCAAAAAUUUUAAUACUAUAUUACCACUUUUUGUAAAAUUUUUAUUUUCAGCCGUUGAUUUUGAACCUUUUCAAUCACUAGUUAAAUGAUAUCGAAAAACUGCAAAAAANUCCUAUCCUGAUAUCAGAGUAAUGUAUAAGACGAUAUACUAUCAGUAAAUGAACAAAGAGUAUACAAUCCAAAAUCUCAGCAAAAGGAGAAGAAGUACGAACU